UGGGGAAUUUUGCACAAUGGGCGCAAGCCUGAUGCAGCGACGCCGCGUGAGGGAUGAAGGCCUUCGGGUUGUAAACCUUUUUCGCUCAUGGUCAAGCCGCAGCUUUGGGUUGUGGUGAGGGUAGUGGGUAAAGAAGCGCCGGCUAACUACGUGCCAGCAGCCGCGGUAAUACGUAGGUGGCAAGCGUUGUCCGGAAUUAUUGGGCGUAAAGCGCGCGCAGGUGGUUUAGAAAGUCUGAUGUGAAAGCCCACGGCUCAACCGUGGAGGGUCAUUGGAAACUAAUAAACUUGAGUGCAGGAGAGAAAAGUGGAAUUCCUAGUGUAGCGGUGAAAUGCGUAGGGAUUAGGAGGAACACCGGUGGCGAAAGCGGCUUUUUGGCCUGCAACUGACACUGAGGCGCGAAAGCGUGGGGAGCAAACAGG
RNAcentral lists this ribosomal RNA (422 nucleotides) under Verrucomicrobiota bacterium. RNAcentral describes it as "Verrucomicrobia bacterium partial 16S ribosomal RNA". It matches the Rfam family "Bacterial small subunit ribosomal RNA", at positions 355 to 776 of the family's 1533-position model. The record is from RNAcentral. Lineage: Bacteria; Pseudomonadati; Verrucomicrobiota.